CACCUUUGAAACCAUUAAGACAAUAUCCUGAGUGUCUGCUCCCCCAUCAUCAUGUUUGCCCACUUAAAUUGUUACUCCCUACUGUCAGGCUGUGGUCAGGAGGAAGGUGAACAGGCUCCAGGGCACUCUGUUCUGAUUUAUUUUGCAAGGGUUAUGGCAUGGAUCUCAGAGCAUGGGGAUGGGUGUACACAUGCCAUUUCUAGGUACUGGGAAAGCAGGACCACCGGGCUGGUACAAGGGCUGCCAGGGCUUUUCUAGGCAGCAGGAGGUAGAAAGUACAGGGCAGUCCACCCGAGAGUCAGAGCAGAGAGGAGCACUGAGCUGCGCGUGAAUACACACAGGUAUUUGAAGAUUCCUGUGAGCUACAUCCACAGAUAUAUGUACCCAGAGAUUACCAUUACCACCUUUAUCUGACCAUGGGAGGGUCUGUAAGGACUGUGACCCUACAUCUCACAUCAUGGGUUGAAAGACCAAACUGAGGCUGCACUGGACCCAUGGGAACCCUAGAGUGGCUGGGUCAUAAGCCAUACCUUCAGGUGGGAGAAAGGGGCCUUUUAUCCCUGGCCUGGUCUACUGGGCCACCUUGCCAAAAGUUACAGGGUGAGACCAUGGGGUUUUCAAGAUGGGUCACGAGAGCUUCAUUGAGAGCAGAGCUUUCCCAACCUAUGCAGGCUGGAGCGGCUCAGGAAGGUGUAAGUAGUGUGGGCAUGGGCCUGCUCCUAGUUUUAGGGUGGACAGGAAGGAAGGGAAUAGAGGUUGUAGACCCCAGCCCCAAGUGAUUGGUAGUCCAAAUGGUCCUUCCCCCAAAUAGGCUGGUCAGAGGCCCUCAAUGCCCAGCACCCAGGACUACACACACUGGCCUUUAUUCUCAAGAAGCCUCUGGGACCUCCUCUGUGGGACAGACUUGCAGUUCCCCACUACUCCUGGUGGGAUUCCCAGAAGAGUGUGAAAUGGGUCCUUUGUGCUGGGACCACCAUCUCAUUCUUGAAAACAAGCCCCAAGCAGCAGCAGAUAAAAGGGAGGGGGAAAGACUUAAGGGCGGGCCUAGUGGUGACAUCAGGGAAGGGAACCUUCUCUAAGUUCCAGCCUUGUCACAGACCAAGAAGCACUGGAAACUGAAGAACACUAUCCUUGGAGCAGGAGGUUAGUGACUCAUUUAUGGCCCUGGGGUUUGGUGCAUGAGGGCCUACCAGAGAAUCCACUGGGGAGAGACUGGGGAAAGUGAUAAGGCCCCACAAGUUGAGGGACUCAAGUGUAGCCUGGAGACCUGAGCAUCUUCAGAUCCUAUGAGGGUUUCAGAUGACACUUGGAACUAAGGACAUACGAAAAGGGCUGGUGGGCAGCAGAGAGAACUUAUGUCCAUCAGCUGUGACCACCCUGGCUGUGAAGUAGGGAGGGGUCUGGCUUCAGAGUGAGUCCAGAAGGGAGGGAGGGCCAUCUGUGGCACUUCGUAGGCAGAUGGGGCAGCAGUUCAUAGCACUGACACCUUAGUUUAAAUUUUCUGGAUGGAUGUGUAUAUAUACACUCUAGAGCAGUGGUUCUCAAUUUUCCUAAUGCUGUGGCCCUUUAAGAAGUUCUGCAUGGUGUGGCGAACCUCAAUCAUGAAAUUAUUUUUGUUGCUACCUCAUAACUAUGAUUUUACUAUUAUGUAUCAUAAUGUAAAAAUCUGUGCUUUCCAAUAAUCUUUGGUAAUCCCUGUGAAAGGGUCAUUAGAUGCCCUCACCCCCACCCCGACACACACAAAGGGGUCACAACUCCCAGGUUAACUACUGUUUUAGGGUGUAUCAGCCUGUAGUCUUCCUACUGGUCCCAGCUCUGCUCCCAGAGCUGGCUUCUCUGCAGAGGUAACCUUGAGUAUCCAGGAAAUGCAGGUGCUUUGUGCGGGGGUGGGGUGGGGAGCUGGGUUCCUUAGGCUCACAAAUUCCAGACUGGGUCAUGCUUGUGUUCCCUCUUCCAAAGUACUACCCUUAGGUGGUGAGCUCUACCCCGCUGGCCUCUCUCAAGCAUUGUUUCCCAACUUCGGAGAGGACCCAAGGGCUCCCCAAUACUUUUCGUUCCUACUGUGCCUACUACUGCUAUAAUCAGAACUUGGUCUCACAUGUCCCUUCUGCUUGAGAGCAAGCCACCAAAUGUGGUGACCUUGAUGGUAUGAAUCUAUCCAAACCAAUCUCAGACACCAUGUGGGGCUGCUGGGGCCUCAAGGAUUCCCCGCCGUGUCUCUCUACUGUGGCUGUGAAUACCAGAAGGGGCAUGGGCAGUGCUCCCCUGUUCAGGGAGACUUGGCUCCCUGCAGAGGGUACUUGGAGUACACAAGCAAAUUGUGUAGCUGAGGGUCCUUUGUUCAGUGGGACGCCUCAGUGUGGCUUCAGUCUUCAUCAACAUCUCCAUAAUGAUAAGUCAUAGACCUCUGGGCUUCACUCACAUCUGUAGGGACAACCUGCUAGUCCAUGGGAAUGGAUGCAGAACUAGCUUUCUGUCAGGGAGUGGGUAAGACAGUUCCUUAAGUGGUGAGGGCUUUGACCUCUCCUCCCACAGGCUGCGCAGUAUGAGCCUCCAAGGCUCCUACCUCCGCUUCUGCCUCUGGAUGUUCUUGGGCACCACGUUGGCACUGGGGCAGGGACAAGGUAAGGAGGCAAUGCCCCCACUGCAACAAGAAGAACUCUGCUACAAGCCUCUGACUUGCCAGAACAGGCAUUUCCCUGUAGAGUAAAUGCUAACCUGAGAGCUGUUGUGGCAACAGGCAAGCUGGUAGAGCAGAGGAGAGAACACUCACACUCAGCUCUUGCCUUGACCUUGUGGUACUUCGGCCUUGCUUAGGGAGGCUUUCUUGCCUAAGUUAUUUCAAGAUUACUGACAUUCUCCAAAUUUGACCCUUUAUCUAUGCCUUGCAUAAUUCUGUAAAAUUUUCAAUCUGGUUUCAUAUACUACACACAUGGCUUAAUAGAGAUCAAUACUCCUGCCUCUUCCCUCCCAAGGGGGUAAAAAAAAGCCUUCCUACACUGUCUUCGAAGGGUGGUGUACCUCUCUUCUCUGUACGUGUCUUGGGGCAAGAGGCUCCAUCUGGACCCUUUCAAUUUGGCCAUUCCAGGCUCCCCCGGGAAAGUCUCUCGUAGUAUUUCUAUGACCUCCAAGGGAUGUGCACAGGACUUGGGGAGGAUCUGUGUUACAGACUCCUUCCUGUGGAGCUGCUGGCUCAGGUGGGUCCCUGGAAGGCAUGUUUCUGUGUGCCCAUAGCCUUCACACUCAUGACUACAUCUAGCUCCCAGGAACAAUAUAGUAUGUUCCUCAUGA
This 3291-nucleotide long non-coding RNA is filed under the name Mus pahari (shrew mouse). RNAcentral describes it as "RIKEN cDNA 9230112E08 gene (MGP_PahariEiJ_G0033085.1)". The record is from RNAcentral. Lineage: Eukaryota; Metazoa; Chordata; Mammalia; Rodentia; Muridae.